Molecule: long non-coding RNA, 445 nt
Organism: Trachemys scripta elegans
Lineage: Eukaryota; Metazoa; Chordata; Testudines; Emydidae
Exons: 4
Source: RefSeq, a predicted model, not a curated record
CCCCCGCCCAAUAUCACUAUCGCGGCUGUCUUCGUGUGAUCUGGGGCCCGGGCUUUAGCACAGACCAGACGCUGCUGCUGCUGUCGCCGUGUGAUCCGAGGCCCGGGCUGAGCAGGUGCUGCUCCCCGGGUCUGUGCUGGGGGGGAUCCUGGUGUUAAUCUCUCCCUGCCCGGCCGGGGGGGGCUUUCUCCAGCUCGAACCCGCCCCCUGGGCAGCCCCAGGCCGGAGCCCCCCGCUUGUGCCAGAAUCCUGGGAGCAUUCCCCGGCUACGCCCAGUCACCGUGAUAACUUUCUAUCCACUUAUCAUACACUACAGGCUGCUGAACGAUGUCCAUGUUUCGCUCCAGCUCAUCCCAUCCUCCCGUGGGACAGGGGAGAGAAAUGGCUGCAGAGGAGCCAGUUCAGGGGCCGGUGACCUUCGAGGAGGUGGCUGUGUAUUUCACCA